This 448-nucleotide ribosomal RNA is filed under the name uncultured bacterium. RNAcentral's name for it is "bacterial SSU rRNA". It matches the Rfam family "Bacterial small subunit ribosomal RNA", at positions 330 to 794 of the family's 1533-position model. The record is from RNAcentral.
UCCAGACUCCUACGGGAGGCAGCAGUGGGGGAUAUUGCACAAUGGGGGGAACCCUGAUGCAGCGACGCCGCGUGGGUGAAGGAGCGUUUCGGCGCGUAAAGCCCUAUCGGCAGGGAAGAAGGAGGACGGUACCUGACUAAGAAGCCCCGGCUAACUACGUGCCAGCAGCCGCGGUAAUACGUAGGGGGCAAGCGUUAUCCGGAUUUACUGGGUGUAAAGGGGGCGCAGACGGCAGCGCAAGCCAGGAGUGAAAGCCCGGGGCCCAACCCCGGGACUGCUCUUGGAACUGCGUGGCUGGAGUGCAGGAGGGGCAGGCGGAAUUCCUGGUGUAGCGGUGAAAUGCGUAGAUAUCAGGAGGAACACCGGUGGCGAAGGCGGCCUGCUGGACUGCAACUGACGUUGAGGCCCGAAAGCGUGGGGAGCAAACAGGAUUAGAUACCCUCGUACA